This 1491-nucleotide ribosomal RNA is filed under the name uncultured Bacteroidales bacterium. Its description in RNAcentral is "bacterial SSU rRNA". It matches the Rfam family "Bacterial small subunit ribosomal RNA". Lineage: Bacteria; Pseudomonadati; Bacteroidota; Bacteroidia; Bacteroidales. The record is from RNAcentral.
AUUGAAGAGUUUGAUCAUGGCUCAGGAUGAACGCUAGCGGCAGGCUUAACACAUGCAAGUCGAGGGGCAGCAUGGGAGUAGCAAUACUUCUGAUGGCGACCGGCGCACGGGUGCGUAACGCGUAUGCAACCUACCUGUAACAGGGGGAUAACACUGAGAAAUCGGUACUAAUACCGCAUAACACUAUGAGAGGCAUCUCUUGUGGUUGAAAGUUUCGGCGGUUACAGAUGGGCAUGCGUUGUAUUAGCUGGUUGGUAAGGUAACGGCUUACCAAGGCGACGAUACAUAGGGGGACUGAGAGGUUAACCCCCCACAUUGGUACUGAGACACGGACCAAACUCCUACGGGAGGCAGCAGUGAGGAAUAUUGGUCAAUGGACGGAAGUCUGAACCAGCCAUGCCGCGUGCAGGAAGACGGCUCUAUGAGUUGUAAACUGCUUUUGUACAAGGGUAAACCUGAAUACGUGUAUUCAGCUGAAAGUACUGUACGAAUAAGGAUCGGCUAACUCCGUGCCAGCAGCCGCGGUAAUACGGAGGAUCCAAGCGUUAUCCGGAUUUAUUGGGUUUAAAGGGUGCGUAGGCGGAUUGAUAAGUUAGAGGUGAAAUGUCCGAGCUCAACUCGGGAACUGCCUCUAAUACUGUUGAUCUAGAGAGUAGAUGCGGUAGGCGGAAUGUAUGGUGUAGCGGUGAAAUGCUUAGAGAUCAUACAGAACACCGAUUGCGAAGGCAGCUUACCAAUCUAUAUCUGACGUUGAGGCACGAAAGCGUGGGGAGCAAACAGGAUUAGAUACCCUGGUAGUCCACGCAGUAAACGAUGAUAGCUCGUUGUCGGCGAUACACAGUCGGUGACUAAGAGAAAUCGAUAAGCUAUCCACCUGGGGAGUACGUUCGCAAGAAUGAAACUCAAAGGAAUUGACGGGGGCCCGCACAAGCGGAGGAACAUGUGGUUUAAUUCGAUGAUACGCGAGGAACCUUACCCGGGCUUGAAGGUUAGUGACUGAUCUGGAAACAGGUCUUCCCUUCGGGGCACGAAACUAGGUGCUGCAUGGUUGUCGUCAGCUCGUGCCGUGAGGUGUCGGGUUAAGUCCCAUAACGAGCGCAACCCCUACUGAUAGUUGCCAUCAGGUCAAGCUGGGCACUCUAUCGGGACUGCCGGUGUAAGCCGGAGGAGGGUGGGGAUGACGUCAAAUCAGCACGGCCCUUACGUCCGGGGCGACACACGUGUUACAAUGGUAGGUACAGAGGGCCGCUACCCAGCGAUGGGGUGCAAAUCUCGAAAGCCUAUCUCAGUUCGGAUUGGAGGCUGAAACUCGCCUCCAUGAAGUUGGAUUCGCUAGUAAUCGCGCAUCAGCCAUGGCGCGGUGAAUACGUUCCCGGGCCUUGUACACACCGCCCGUCAAGCCAUGGGAGUUGGGGGUGCCUGAAGUUCGUGACCGCAAGGAGCGACCUAGGGCAAAACUAAUGACUGGGGCUAAGUCGUAACAAGGUAACC